GGCCCUUCGGGGUACACGAGCGGCGAACGGGUGAGUAACACGUGGGUGAUCUGCCUUGCACUUCGGGAUAAGCCUGGGAAACUGGGUCUAAUACCGGAUAUGACCACUGAUCGCAUGGUUGGUGGUGGAAAGAUUUAUCGGUGCGAGAUGGGCCCGCGGCCUAUCAGCUUGUUGGUGAGGUAACGGCUCACCAAGGCGACGACGGGUAGCCGACCUGAGAGGGUGACCGGCCACACUGGGACUGAGACACGGCCCAGACUCCUACGGGAGGCAGCAGUGGGGAAUAUUGCACAAUGGGCGAAAGCCUGAUGCAGCGACGCCGCGUGCGGGAUGACGGCCUUCGGGUUGUAAACCGCUUUUGACAGGGACGAAGCGCAAGUGACUGUACCUGUAGAAUAAGGACCGGCCAACUACGUGCCAGCAGCCGCGGUAAUACGUAGGGUCCGAGCGUUGUCCGGAAUUACUGGGCGUAAAGAGCUUGUAGGCGGUUCGUCGCGUCGUUUGUGAAAACUUGGGGCUCAACCUUAAGCUUGCAGGCGAUACGGGCGGACUAGAGUACUUCAGGGGAGACUGGAAUUCCUGGUGUAGCGGUGAAAUGCGCAGAUAUCAGGAGGAACACCGGUGGCGAAGGCGGGUCUCUGGGAAGUAACUGACGCUGAGAAGCGAAAGCAUGGGUAGCAAACAGGAUUAGAUACCCUGGUAGUCCAUGCCGUAAACGGUGGGUACUAGGUGUGGGGCUCCUUCCACGGACUCCGUGCCGUAGCUAACGCAUUAAGUACCCCGCCUGGGGAGUACGGCCGCAAGGCUAAAACUCAAAGAAAUUGACGGGGGCCCGCACAAGCGGCGGAGCAUGUGGAUUAAUUCGAUGCAACGCGAAGAACCUUACCUGGGUUUGACAUACACCGGAAACCUGCAGAGAUGUAGGCCCCCUUGUGGUCGGUGUACAGGUGGUGCAUGGCUGUCGUCAGCUCGUGUCGUGAGAUGUUGGGUUAAGUCCCGCAACGAGCGCAACCCUUAUCUUAUGUUGCCAGCGCGUAAUGGCGGGGACUCGUGAGAGACUGCCGGGGUCAACUCGGAGGAAGGUGGGGACGACGUCAAGUCAUCAUGCCCCUUAUGUCCAGGGCUUCACACAUGCUACAAUGGCCGGUACAGAGGGCUGCGAUACCGCGAGGUGGAGCGAAUCCCUUAAAGCCGGUCUCAGUUCGGAUCGGGGUCUGCAACUCGACCCCGUGAAGUUGGAGUCGCUAGUAAUCGCAGAUCAGCAACGCUGCGGUGAAUACGUUCCCGGGCCUUGUACACACCGCCCGUCACGUCAUGAAAGUCGGUAACACCCGAAGCCGGUGGCCUAACCCCUUGUGGGAGGGAGCCGU
This 1370-nucleotide ribosomal RNA is filed under the name Nocardia salmonicida. RNAcentral describes it as "bacterial SSU rRNA". It matches the Rfam family "Bacterial small subunit ribosomal RNA". The record is from RNAcentral. Lineage: Bacteria; Bacillati; Actinomycetota; Actinomycetes; Mycobacteriales; Nocardiaceae.